CUGCCUCAACGGCCGGAACGUCUUGUUUACACAAAUUACAAUUUUCUAGGUCCAUACCACAAGUUAUAUACUAAGAUCUACGAGUCAUCUACUGGAUUGGUCCUGGACAGAUCUAUUUUCAUAUUUCAUUUACUGUUAUCUGUUAUUAUCCCUUUUCAAUUCCUUGUUAUCUGUUUUUCACCAAAUCAAUUCACUGUUUUGCUGUUAUGGGGACCCCCCUUGCCCC
RNAcentral lists this long non-coding RNA (226 nucleotides) under Mytilus galloprovincialis (Mediterranean mussel). Lineage: Eukaryota; Metazoa; Mollusca; Bivalvia; Mytilida; Mytilidae. The record is from RNAcentral.